This 775-nucleotide ribosomal RNA is filed under the name uncultured Neocallimastigales. Its description in RNAcentral is "partial large subunit ribosomal RNA". It matches the Rfam family "Eukaryotic large subunit ribosomal RNA", at positions 24 to 628 of the family's 3401-position model. Lineage: Eukaryota; Fungi; Neocallimastigomycota; Neocallimastigomycetes; Neocallimastigales. The record is from RNAcentral.
UAUGUGAUCGUCUCUCGCAUAUCAAUAAGCGGAGGAAAAGAAACUAACAAGGAUUCCCCUAGUAACGGCGAGUGAAGCGGGAAGAGCUCAAAUUUGAAAUCUUAAAGGGUUUCCCUUUACGAAUUGUAGUUUAAAGAAGUGUUUUCUGUUGAGGUUUUGGUAAAAGUUCUUUGGAGUAGGACAUCAUAGAGGGUGAGAAUCCCGUAUUUGACCUUUACUUUCAACUUUGUGAUACACUUUCAAAGAGUCGGAUUGUUUGGGAAUGCAGUCCAAAAUGGGUGGUAAAUUUCAUCUAAAGCUAAAUAUUGGCGAGAGACCGAUAGCGAACAAGUACCGUGAGGGAAAGAUGAAAAGAACUUUGAAAAGAGAGUUAAACAGUACGUGAAAUUGUCAAAAGGGAAGCGUUUGACACCAGUGUUGUUUUUCUGAAAAUCAAUUAAAGAACUGUUUAUGCUAAGCUGUUUAGACUUUAUCAGCUAAUCUGUUUAGUUUUGAGCUUUUCUUUAAUGCACUUUUCAGUUAACAAGUCAACAUCAAUUUCUUUUGCUGUAAAAAAGCUUGAGGAAGGUGGCUUGAGAUUCGUCUUAAGUGUUUAUAGCCUCUUGCCUAUGCAGUCGGAGAGAUUGAGGUCUGCAGCGUAGAUCCUUCGGGGCUAAAUGCAUUUGUGCUAAGUUAUAGCAUUUUAUAGACAACUUGUUGACUAUGAUUUGUCUUGUAGCUUACUCGCUCAUGUUAUUUUACCUACGCUUAGGAUGUUGAGUCGUAGAGCACGCAG